UAAAGUCCCAAUGAGAAUUUAGGCCUUGGAGGCCUGGACAGCUCACCUUUGCAAGCUCCUGAGAAAGGGGCUUAGACUGAAGUGAACUGAAGCAGGAGGAGAUGGAGUCAGUCUGCCAGAUAACCGGCACUUUCUCACCUCCUGGAACGCACUGUUCCCAAUGCUCGGUCCAACUCCAACCACCAGGGAGCAAUGAGAACGAGUGUAGAACAUGGGAUGACGUGGACAGAUCUGACCUUCUGGAUAGUUCACCGGCUUCAUUAUGGAGAACAGACUGGUGGGGGCCAGAGAAGAUGCCGAGUCAGAAGAGACCUUGGAAGCCUCAUACCCCCACCUUGUCUGACCCCUUCUACAAAGGAGUGAACAGAGGCUGCACCUGGUUUGGUGUCUGGCGGAG
Molecule: long non-coding RNA, 397 nt
Organism: Orcinus orca (killer whale)
Lineage: Eukaryota; Metazoa; Chordata; Mammalia; Artiodactyla; Delphinidae
Exons: 3
Source: RefSeq, a predicted model, not a curated record